Long non-coding RNA from Melospiza georgiana, 1325 nucleotides. RefSeq lists it as uncharacterized. The record is from RefSeq and is a predicted model, not a curated record. The transcript is spliced from 5 exons. Lineage: Eukaryota; Metazoa; Chordata; Aves; Passeriformes; Passerellidae.
AGAGAGACACAGUGUUUCCUUCCCCAUCCCAACCAAGGUGAACAUAUGUCCUCUAAUUUCCUAUGGCCUGUGUCAGGAAGAGUAUUUAUGGCUAAUUUAAAAGCAUACAGAAAGUUAAAUGCAGGGACCACUUUUUUUCCCUUGAGUUUGCAUAGGAAAAUAAUUAAAGGCAAACACUGUAUAUUGUAAGGAAUAUAUUGGUCUGGCAUAUGGCAUUCUUUUGUUGCAGAUUACAGACCCAGUGGCCUGAUCCUGCUAUCACUGAAAUGAAUGGCACAUUUCCUAUUGAUUUCAGGGAAAGAAAGAGCAGACUACAACCCAACAUGAGACAGGUGGAGGGAGGAGAUAGAAGUCUCAAAACUACAGGCCUAUGUAAAUUCUGCAGCAUCAGAAAGAGCGUGGCACAGCCCCUGUUCUGGGACAGAAGGACGGACAUCUAAGGGACGUGGGCAUUUCUUCUCAGCUUAGCCAUGAUCCAUAUGAUGGAGCAAUGUAGCCAAGCUGGGGGCUGACCGAGGUUUGCAUCACUGCCCUGACCCAGAUUGCAUCUGCAGUCAUCUGGAACUGACUACACGCCUGAACUGAUGAAAGAGGCUGUGGAAAUAUGGAUCUCUGGGGCCUUGGCAAGAUGCUUAGGCCAUAUUCACCUGUCCUCUGGAAGACAAAAGAGUGAGGAUCAGCAGUGUCAUUUAUUCUGCAAAAACUGAACAGAUGAGAACUGCCGUGACAGCCAAUAGACGAAAUUAAAAAUUAAGGAAAGGCUGGUAUGGAACAAGAGAAAAAUUAUCCCAGCAUUUAACAAUGUUUGGAGGGUGUUAUGUCAACUGCACACUUGGUGAGGCCUAUAAGGAUUUUCCUUGUGUAAUACCUGCAGGAGUUAGGCCUAGCAUAUCAAACUAUUCUAAAAGUGAUGUCCGGUAAGCAAUAGGUGGGCUCUCCUGGGAAAAAUGCAGGAAGAAAACUUGGUGAGAGCUGGAUCUUCGACAGUGUCACCUGUCAUGAGGGAUUGACAAAAGAAAAGAAAAAAAAAAGAAAGGUGAACUAAUUCACCAUGGGGAUGGAAGGAUGGAUGCUUCCUGUUUUUUUCAAUUGCAAAGUGUAUGAUAGUUUCAUGCCUUUAAUUGACAUCAGUGCAGUGUUGUUGAAUCCAAUGAAAUUUGAAUCCCACUAUGAAUUUGUUUUCCACAAGUAGAUUAUGAACAGAAGCAUUUGAUUUUUAUCAAUUAUGUAUUUUUGAGUGAAAAGCUAUUUUGUGUAUAUGUAUUUAACAGCAGGAAAUGUAGCAAAUGUUUAUUUUUAUUAAACUAAUAAAAGGGAUAAACCUA